UCGGGAAUUUUGGGCAAUGGGCGAAAGCCUGACCCAGCAACGCCGCGUGAAGGAUGAAGUAUUUCGGUAUGUAAACUUCGAAAGAAUAGGAAGAAUAAAUGACGGUACUAUUUAUAAGGUCCGGCUAACUACGUGCCAGCAGCCGCGGUAAUACGUAGGGACCAAGCGUUGUUCGGAUUUACUGGGCGUAAAGGGCGCGUAGGCGGCCCUCUAAGUCAGACGUGAAAUCCCCCGGCUUAACCUGGGAACUGCGUCUGAUACUGGAGGGCUUGAGUAUGGGAGAGGGAUGUAGAAUUCCAGGUGUAGCGGUGAAAUGCGUAGAUAUCUGGAGGAAUACCGGUGGCGAAGGCGGCAUCCUGGACCAUUACUGACGCUGAGGCGCGAAAGCUAGGGGAGCAAACGGGAUUAGAUACCCUCGUAGUCCCUGAGCGGGCUGGCAAGGCG
This 444-nucleotide ribosomal RNA is filed under the name uncultured bacterium. RNAcentral describes it as "bacterial SSU rRNA". It matches the Rfam family "Bacterial small subunit ribosomal RNA", at positions 355 to 822 of the family's 1533-position model. The record is from RNAcentral.